ACGUAGGGGGCAAGCGUUAUCCGGAUUUACUGGGUGUAAAGGGAGCGUAGACGGCAGGGCAAGUCUGGAGUGAAAGCCCGGGGCCCAACCCCGGGACUGCUUUGGAAACUGCCAUGCUGGAGUGCUGGAGAGGUAAGCGGAAUUCCUAGUGUAGCGGUGAAAUGCGUAGAUAUUAGGAGGAACACCAGUGGCGAAGGCGGCUUACUGGACAGUAACUGACGUUGAGGCUCGAAAGCGUGGGGAGCAAA
This 248-nucleotide ribosomal RNA is filed under the name uncultured bacterium. RNAcentral describes it as "partial 16S ribosomal RNA". It matches the Rfam family "Bacterial small subunit ribosomal RNA", at positions 525 to 772 of the family's 1533-position model. The record is from RNAcentral.